Molecule: ribosomal RNA, 479 nt
Filed under: uncultured bacterium
Lineage: Bacteria
Description: bacterial SSU rRNA
Rfam family: Bacterial small subunit ribosomal RNA
Source: RNAcentral
UGAACGCUGGCGGCGUGCAUAACACAUUCAAGUCGAACGAAGCAUUUAAGAUGGAGACUUCGGUCAAAGUCUUAAUUGACUUAGUGGCGGACGGGUGAGUAACGCGUGAGAAACCUGCCUCUCAGUGGGGGACAACAGUUGGAAACGACUGCUAAUACCGCAUAACAUAUUCGGACCGCAUGAUCUGAAUAUCAAAGCUUUAUGUGCUGAAAGAUGGCCUCGCGUCUGAUUAGCUAGUUGGUGGGGUAACGGCCCACCAAGGCGACGAUCAGUAGCCGGUCUGAGAGGAUGAACGGCCACAUUGGGACUGAGAUACGGCCCAGACUCCUACGGGAGGCAGCAGUGGGGAAUAUUGCACAAUGGGCGAAAGCCUGAUGCAGCAACGCCGCGUGAGGGAAGACGGUUUUCGGAUUGUAAACCUCUGUCUUCGGUGACGAAUAAUGACGGUAGCCGAGGAGGAAGCCACGGCUAACUACGUG